GAUGAAGAACGUAGCGAAAUGCGAUAACUAAUGUGAAUUGCAGAAUUCAGUGAAUCAACGAGUCUUUGAACGCACAUUGCGCCCCCUGGUAUUCCGGGGGGCAUGCCUGUCCGAGCGUCAUUGCUGCCCUCAAGCACGGCUUGUGUGUUGGGCUCCGUCCCCCCGGGGACGGGCCCGAAAGGCAGCGGCGGCACCGAGUCCGGUCCUCGAGCGUAUGGGGCUUUGUCACCCGCUCUGUAGGCCCGGCCGGCGCCAGCCGACAACCCAUCAUCCUUUUCAGGUUGACCUCGGAUCAGGUAGGGAUACCCGCUGAACUUAAGCAUAUCAAUAAGCGGAGGA
RNAcentral lists this unclassified non-coding RNA (339 nucleotides) under soil metagenome. RNAcentral describes it as "partial contains 5.8S ribosomal RNA, internal transcribed spacer 2, and large subunit ribosomal RNA". The stretch from base 1 to 120 matches the Rfam family "5.8S ribosomal RNA", at positions 35 to 154 of the family's 154-position model. The record is from RNAcentral.